AAACCUAUGGGUUAAACACCAAGCGGCGAACUCUGGGGCAAAGCCGGGAAGCCCCUAAGGAAGUGCCACAAACUGCAGUUCAUCUAUUGGCCGAUAGGGGAUGGCUGCAGAAAGGAGCAAUUUCCAUCGACCCCCAUGUUAAAAUGCCCAACUUUACAGCAGAAAUAAACACGUUUCUACCCCUGGAUGCAAUAAAAAUUAUUCUGGAUAUAGUUAGAUUCCACCUUCAUGACAAUUGAUUGGGGAG
Molecule: long non-coding RNA, 247 nt
Organism: Notothenia coriiceps (black rockcod)
Lineage: Eukaryota; Metazoa; Chordata; Actinopteri; Perciformes; Nototheniidae
Exons: 3
Source: RefSeq, a predicted model, not a curated record